GGCGGUUCUCGGGUGACACACCCCAGAAUCGGACUCCCUCCUCUCUGGUUCCAGGGUGCUUCACCCAAGAACCGCC
Non-coding RNA from Myotis lucifugus (little brown bat), 76 nucleotides. Lineage: Eukaryota; Metazoa; Chordata; Mammalia; Chiroptera; Vespertilionidae. The record is from Rfam.